UGUGGGGAAUAUUGCACAAUGGGCGAAAGCCUGAUGCAGCAACGCCGCGUGAGCGAUGAAGGCCUUCGGGUUGUAAAGCUCUGUCUUCGCUGACGAAAUUGACGGUAAGCGAGGAGGAAGCCACGGCGGAACUACGUGCCAGCCAGCCCCGGGUAUAA
This 158-nucleotide ribosomal RNA is filed under the name uncultured anaerobic bacterium. RNAcentral describes it as "partial 16S ribosomal RNA". It matches the Rfam family "Bacterial small subunit ribosomal RNA", at positions 353 to 525 of the family's 1533-position model. The record is from RNAcentral.